GAGGUAUGCUUUUUUUCUCCCCACACAUUUGGAAUACUAGUCUAUGCUGUAGCUACUUCGUUUAUAAUCACUAGAGGCUGGGGUUGACUUCAAUUUCUGCAGUUUAAGACCCCAGCCAUUUAUAUCACAAGAAAUGAAAGCUGUUAACGAGUCAUGUGGCAGCUCCAGGACGGUGUCCUUAGACAUAGACGGUUGCAGAAAAGCCAAUAUGAUAAAAAAAGUUGUUAGCUUUGUUUACAUGGUGAUGCAAGUAUACAACCUCUGGUGUUUUUCUGGAGGAAAAUCAAAGCCAAAUGGUCGUCUAGAAUCUAGAUUAUAGACUGACCAAAUGCAAACGUACAUUCAAUGAUAUUGCUAAAUUGCCAUUGUAGAUGUUGGAAAAAAACAAUUCCAAGGCCCUCCGACUAUGUGUUGUUGAACCCUUUAUAGUAUGGUGUGAUUUGUCAAAUAUAAAUAAGCUGCUUCUCUAUUUUGCAAGUUUGGAGUGUCAACUUCCAAGUGGUGAUCUGUUUUGUCAAUUAUGUGCUAGGCUGAUGUAUUAGAUGAAUAUAAGCGUUUAUUUGGGAAAGUUGGCAUCCCGUUGGUAGGAGGCAGUCGUCUCAUGUCAUGGCUCUGGUAUAAGAAUAGUGGGAUGCUGCAAAACUGACUUGGAAAAUGAGGAACAACAAGCAUCUUGAAAAAACUAACUUAAUUAGGUUUGAGGAGUUGGGCCCGUAUAUCCACAUUUAGCAUCUCCAAUGAUAUUUGCAUAUAUGCUCUCCGUUUGUGGCUUUUUGGCUGUUGCUUGCUACUCGUAUUGUGUUGCAACGUGCUUGCAUUGAGGCUGGAGUUUGGAGAUGCUAUCUGGGAAUCUGUUCUUGUUACUGGUUCAUCCAAACUUGUAACAAGUUGAAUUGAUCGUGUUACAAUUGCAGUUUGAUGAUGCACCAAUGUUAUAUUCAUAUCACAUUUGCUCUUCACGUAUUUGUUCACGUGUGGGAUAUUGAGGAUCCUAACAAGAAUAUGGUUUUGUGAUUAGCGUAUGAGCACGACAUCAAUGUGAAACAGGAAGUUCAGUUCCCUUUUGGGGGAUGCUAUUGCCCACCCAUAUCGGUAGUGGGUUAAAUACUUGAUAGGUUUGCUAGAUCCGGAUGCUCAGCCAUAUCGGUAGCAUUCCGCGGUCUUGUCUUAGCCACUCUUCCGGAACUCCAUUAGAUCCGACGCCGCCACAAGUUCCACUGUUAAUCACUUCAGCCAAUUCAUCAGAUUAAGUUGUAAUCUAACAAUUGAGUACUUGAUUGCAACUUUGUGACUUGUGAGAGAACCAUAAGUAAUCUACAUUUGUCCUUGGUAGUGUGCGUAUGCAGGCUUAAAGAUACAAGGACUAAAAUAAGCAUGCCUGUAAAGUUCAAGUACUAAAAAGUUCACAAGAACACUCUUCUGUGGUGGGCCGAACUUGAGCUGCUUUUCUGUCUCUUUUGCUCCUUUUUUCUUUUGGCUUUUGCUAUCUAAUUAUCAGUACCGACAUUUUAGCGUAAGCAGAUUGCUCUCUGCUUCCAAUUUUCCUAUUACUUUCCUUCCGCUCCUCAAUCAAAUCGGUCUUCCUCAAUCUCUCUGUGUUUUCAAUUUCAUCUUCUGUUGACGGAUUCUGCUUCUUCCUUAUGAUCUAACCUACUACCCCCCAUCUGCUUGUUUUUUAAGCUUUGAUUGUAUCUGUUCGUGAUCAUAACUUGGUCUGAUCCACUGAAAUUACCAGGUUCUGGUGACGACACAUCUGCCGUUGAUUUUGCUUCUCGGGUUUCUUUGCAUCCCAAGGUUAGGGGCUCUUCCUGAUUCUCUUGAUGUGAACUUCACCUUUUUUUCCUUCAUGCAUGAUAACUGCUCGACGAAAUGCUUUGUUCUGCAACAUGACACUGUCUGUGCUUUCUAUAAUCUGUUUCCUCUUCGCUAUCUAUAUGGCAAGGCUGAGAAGCUUAAAUUUUCUAUGGUAUGGUACCAUCGAUUGUUGAUCGUCGAAACUAAGAACUUUCGAGGAAGUCAAAACCCUGAGUUCAACUGAUAGAUUCCGUUUGGCUUAGUAGGAGUUAUUGCUGUUUGGGCAAUCAUUUAAAACGAAAAGGAAGAAGAAAAAAGACCUCAGUCUUUUGUCUCUUUCUGCUUUGCGGUUGAUCGGUGGGCCGACUCAGAAAUUCGUGUUGGUUAUAGGUUCAAUAUUUCGCAGCUCGUAUCAAUUAUGCAUAAAGAACAGACGAAGCACAAAGUUUUCUUCUUUGUGAAAGUUCUAGGAGGCUAUUUAAUUUCUGUGGUGAUCAAAUUGAAGCCUUGUUCCAUAAUUUUCUCGUCAAUCUAUAUACCUGAAACUGUAGGGAAGCUUAUCAAAGAGAGCUUUUAACUAUCUGCCUGCAUGCGUUUUGCUGAUUGCUAAAUUUGGUGUGCAGUGCAUCUGAGGGUCUGCCACUCCCCUUUUGAGAAAAGAAAUAUGGUUUCCGCAAACAGGGAAAUGGCUGUGUAUUGCUUUGACACUCUCGUUGCUCACUAUAACAACGAGGAAGCACCCCCUCCCGCCUUUGAUGAGGGCCAACAGUAAACCCGUUCAUCCUACCCUUCCCUCUUUUGUUCCAUUGAUUUCUAGUAUUUACGGCCAUAACCAUAUGAUUGAAUAGAAUUCUGGUGUAAAUGAAGCCCCUUUUUCAGUCUCGUUGUCUUCUUAAAACCCUUUUCGAUAGGUUUCAUAGUUUAAGCUACGAUCGUGAACAAGCAUCCUCGCUUUUUCAAUGGGAACUUUUUUUUUUCUCCUAGUUGUAUGCAUAAAUCAUAAUCAUCCGGCAUUUUAUGGUAGAUGGUACCAUUGUCGAUGAUGAUGAUAACCUCUUCAGUUCAAGCAAUGAUUUCGUGUUUUGUUCUUUCAGACUUCAGAGCCUUCUUUCCUGUUUCAUAUUUCCUUGGUACUUUGAUUUCUAAUGGACUCAGUUUGCUCAUCUGGUUCUAUUAUUUGUAGUGUGGUGUGUUAGCAUUAACUUGAUCUUCUUUGCAGUCGGGUCCUCUUUCAGAAUGUAAAUUUUUUAAAUGUUAUUCUCGCAUCUUGUUCUCACAGGAAUACUUUUUAUUAUCUUUACUGUGAAUUCACUAAGCAUAACAUGUCUUUUGUUAUAAAUUUUCUCCCAGUCCAUUGUUUGUCACUUGGAAGAAAGUGGUCAAUGGUGGUGAGCCUCGUUUACGUGGAUGCAUUGGGACUUUGGAGUCUAGAUACUUGAUUAAUGGAUUCAAGGACUAUGCUUUAACCAGGUAUUGAUGAUGAUAUGUUACUCAUUUAAGAAAUAUGUUUUAAUCUGUUGCACUCAAUGUGUGACAAACAAAUGGACAUUUUCACACCUGGAAAACACCAAUAGCAGUAAACUUAGUAUGGAAAAUGUAGUAAAAACUGUAACAAACGUAAUGAAAUUUGGUGCGUUUAAAUGUUGGAGUCAGGCCUGGACUAUUUCAUCCCCAGCUGCAUCAGUUGGCUCCAGAUUAUUUUUUUCACUGAUUUAUUUGUUAAGAUUAGAUGAAUUUAUUGACAAUCAAUUAUUCUGUUGCGGAUUGUAUUUAGUGCAUUUAGAACUUCUCAUUAUACUUCGUACCUCCUUUUAGAUGAAGUUGUUGGAAGAAUAUGUGAAAAGUGGAACAUAGUUUUCUUGAUAUGGAUUAUACAUUUAUAAGAUGGUACUUGUGCUUCAUGCAUAGUCUUACACCCAUCUCGUCUGACCUUUUCAUCAGAAUUAUUUCUGAAACUAGUUUUCUUAAAUACCUGAUUUGAUUGUUUCUGGAUCUUCUCUGGCCGAUUAUCUUAUGCAUGCCUGCCUCUGAAUUCUAAUUACAAUUUUUUGUAUUGGUACAGUGCUUUAAGGGACCGAAGGUUUCCUCCAAUACAGGCAAAAGAGUUGCCUUCCCUAGAAUGUACAGUGUCUAUUCUAACUGAUUAUGAAACUGCUAACAACUAUCUUGACUGGGAGGUAUGCUUUUUUUCUCCCCACACAUUUGGAAUACUAGUCUAUGCUGUAGCUACUUCGUUUAUAAUCACUAGAGGCUGGGGUUGACUUCAAUUUCUGCAGUUUAAGACCCCAGCCAUUUAUAUCACAAGAAAUGAAAGCUGUUAACGAGUCAUGUGGCAGCUCCAGGACGGUGUCCUUAGACAUAGACGGUUGCAGAAAAGCCAAUAUGAUAAAAAAAGUUGUUAGCUUUGUUUACAUGGUGAUGCAAGUAUACAACCUCUGGUGUUUUUCUGGAGGAAAAUCAAAGCCAAAUGGUCGUCUAGAAUCUAGAUUAUAGACUGACCAAAUGCAAACGUACAUUCAAUGAUAUUGCUAAAUUGCCAUUGUAGAUGUUGGAAAAAAACAAUUCCAAGGCCCUCCGACUAUGUGUUGUUGAACCCUUUAUAGUAUGGUGUGAUUUGUCAAAUAUAAAUAAGCUGCUUCUCUAUUUUGCAAGUUUGGAGUGUCAACUUCCAAGUGGUGAUCUGUUUUGUCAAUUAUGUGCUAGGCUGAUGUAUUAGAUGAUUAUAAGAAUUUAUUAGUGUUCGGGAGCAGCUUAAGUUGAUUAAUUUGAGGACAGUUAUAAUAGCUCUUUCUUGACAUACUCUUCACUCCAGGUU
RNAcentral lists this long non-coding RNA (4609 nucleotides) under Linum usitatissimum (flax). Its description in RNAcentral is "long non-coding RNA (LUSI_LNC006083)". The record is from RNAcentral. Lineage: Eukaryota; Viridiplantae; Streptophyta; Magnoliopsida; Malpighiales; Linaceae.